AGUGAACGCUGGCGGUAGGCCUAACACAUGCAAGUCGAACGGCAGCACAGUAAGAGCUUGCUCUUACGGGUGGCGAGUGGCGGACGGGUGAGGAAUACAUCGGAAUCUACUUUUUCGUGGGGGAUAACGUAGGGAAACUUACGCUAAUACCGCAUACGACCUACGGGUGAAAGCAGGGGAUCUUCGGACCUUGCGCGAUUGAAUGAGCCGAUGUCGGAUUAGCUAGUUGGCGGGGUAAAGGCCCACCAAGGCGACGAUCCGUAGCUGGUCUGAGAGGAUGCGAAGCCACAGUGGAACGGAGACGCGGUCCAGACCCCUACGGGAGGCAGCAGGGGGGAUUAUUGGACAAGGGGCGAAAGCCUGACCCCGCCAACCCGGGGGGGGAAAGAAGGCCUUCGGGUUGUAAACCCUUUUUGUGGGAAAAGAAAAGAAGCAGUUUAAUCCCCCGCUGUUCUGACGGUACCAAAAGAAAAAGCACCGGCUACCUUCGUG
RNAcentral lists this ribosomal RNA (492 nucleotides) under uncultured bacterium. RNAcentral describes it as "partial 16S ribosomal RNA". It matches the Rfam family "Bacterial small subunit ribosomal RNA", at positions 29 to 507 of the family's 1533-position model. The record is from RNAcentral.